CGCGGGAUGGAGCAGUGGUAGCUCGUCGGGCUCAUAACCCGAAGGUCACAGGUUCGAGUCCUGUUCCCGCUACUA
RNAcentral lists this transfer RNA (75 nucleotides) under Flavobacteriaceae bacterium. RNAcentral's name for it is "tRNA-Met". It matches the Rfam family "tRNA". Rfam says of the family: Transfer RNA (tRNA) molecules are approximately 80 nucleotides in length. Their secondary structure includes four short double-helical elements and three loops (D, anti-codon, and T loops). Further hydrogen bonds mediate the characteristic L-shaped molecular structure. tRNAs have two regions of fundamental functional importance: the anti-codon, which is responsible for specific mRNA codon recognition, and the 3' end, to which the tRNAs corresponding amino acid is attached (by aminoacyl-tRNA synthetases). tRNAs cope with the degeneracy of the genetic code in two manners: having more than one tRNA (with a specific anti-codon) for a particular amino acid; and 'wobble' base-pairing, i.e. permitting non-standard base-pairing at the 3rd anti-codon position. Lineage: Bacteria; Pseudomonadati; Bacteroidota; Flavobacteriia; Flavobacteriales; Flavobacteriaceae. RNAcentral also lists the same sequence under 2 other names. The record is from RNAcentral.